RNAcentral lists this unclassified non-coding RNA (422 nucleotides) under Hevea brasiliensis (rubber tree). The record is from RNAcentral. Lineage: Eukaryota; Viridiplantae; Streptophyta; Magnoliopsida; Malpighiales; Euphorbiaceae.
GUAAAAUGUACUUUUUUUAUAUAACAAUAAUAGUAAUCAUCUCAAAUAUUAUUGGAUACAUCAAUAUUAAAUAUAAAAAAAUAGGAAAUUGAAUUUAUCUUAGCCUAUAUAAAUAUUAUUGAAUUUGCAAGGAUAUUAGUUUCAUUUGAUAUUAGCUAUAACAACAAAAUCCUAAUGAUCAUAUUCACGUGCAACUACUCUUGUAAGAAUGAUACUUGUGACAUACAAAAACUCAAAAAAAUUAAAGGCUUAUAAAUAGAUUUUGCCCGUUGAAGAAAAAAAGAUACACAAAAUUAGUGAAGAAAGAAAAAAAAUCACAUUAUAUGUCAAAGUUAAUUAAACUUGAGUCCUAAUGCAUGAAAAUAGAGCAUUUAAUUGUAAAACUAUUCGUUACUAAUUUUUUUUUAAAUAGCUAAAAAUUU